RNAcentral lists this unclassified non-coding RNA (213 nucleotides) under Hevea brasiliensis (rubber tree). Lineage: Eukaryota; Viridiplantae; Streptophyta; Magnoliopsida; Malpighiales; Euphorbiaceae. The record is from RNAcentral.
GCGGUGAUGAUUCAAGCUCUUGCGCAUCGUGUUCCAUAUAUGUGGGUGAUCGAAGAAGAUGGAAGCUUGGUUGGCAUUAUCACAUUUGCGUCGAUGUUGAAGGUUUUCCGCGAACGUUUGAAAUCAAUGUGUUAAAAGGACAUCAGCUAGAGCUUUGCCCACAUAUUAAGCUGAAACUAUAAUAAUGUCUACAUUGCGUUAUUUUGCUCACUU